GACUUAAGUUAACAAAACUAAAAGCCUUCAAAGCUUUAAUUGGUAAUAAGCCAGCCCUUAAACCCCAAAG
RNAcentral lists this transfer RNA (70 nucleotides) under Lamprotula leaii. RNAcentral describes it as "tRNA-Arg". The record is from RNAcentral. Lineage: Eukaryota; Metazoa; Mollusca; Bivalvia; Unionida; Unionidae.